RNAcentral lists this ribosomal RNA (253 nucleotides) under uncultured bacterium. RNAcentral's name for it is "partial 16S ribosomal RNA". It matches the Rfam family "Bacterial small subunit ribosomal RNA", at positions 524 to 776 of the family's 1533-position model. The record is from RNAcentral.
UACGUAGGCAGCAAGCGUUGUUCGGAGUUACUGGGCGUAAAGGGUGUGUAGGCGGUUUUCUAAGUCUGGUGUGAAAUCUCCCGGCUCAACUGGGAGGGUGCGCCGAAAACUGGAAGGCUAGAGUGCGGGAUGGGAGAGUGGAAUUCCUGGUGUAGCGGUGAAAUGCGUAGAUAUCAGGAGGAACACCGGUGGCGAAGGCGGCUAUCUGGACAGAAACUGACGCUGAGGCGCGAAAGCUAGGGGAGCAAACAGG